UACGUAGGGUCCGAGCGUUGUCCGGAAUCACUGGGCGUAAAGGGCGCGUAGACGGCUUGAUAAGGUUGCGGUGAAAGCCCGGGGCUCAACCCCGGGUCGGCCGUGGCAACUGUCGAGCUGGAGCACUGUAGAGGCAGGUGGAAUUCCGGGUGUAGCGGUGGAAUGCGUAGAGAUCCGGAAGAACACCGGUGGCGAAGGCGGCCUGCUGGGCAGUGGCUGACGCUGAGGCGCGACAGCGUGGGGAGCAAACAGG
This 253-nucleotide ribosomal RNA is filed under the name uncultured bacterium. RNAcentral's name for it is "partial 16S ribosomal RNA". It matches the Rfam family "Bacterial small subunit ribosomal RNA", at positions 524 to 776 of the family's 1533-position model. The record is from RNAcentral.